UACGAAGGGGGCUAGCGUUGUUCGGAAUUACUGGGCGUAAAGCGCACGUAGGCGGAUAUUUAAGUCAGGGGUGAAAUCCCGGGGCUCAACCCCGGAACUGCCUUUGAUACUGGCUAUCUUGAGUCCGGAAGAGGUGAGUGGAAUUGCGAGUGUAGAGGUGAAAUUCGUAGAUAUUCGCAGGAACACCAGUGGCGAAGGCGGCUCACUGGUCCGGUACUGACGCUGAGGUGCGAAAGCGUGGGGAGCAAACAGG
RNAcentral lists this non-coding RNA (253 nucleotides) under uncultured bacterium. Its description in RNAcentral is "partial 16S ribosomal RNA". It matches the Rfam family "Bacterial small subunit ribosomal RNA", at positions 524 to 776 of the family's 1533-position model. RNAcentral also lists the same sequence under 1 other name. The record is from RNAcentral.